RNAcentral lists this ribosomal RNA (702 nucleotides) under Triticum aestivum (bread wheat). RNAcentral describes it as "partial small subunit ribosomal RNA". Lineage: Eukaryota; Viridiplantae; Streptophyta; Magnoliopsida; Poales; Poaceae. The record is from RNAcentral.
AUGAAUGGUGAACGUAAGGUACACUGGAUAUCAUGGAAAAAAAUGUGUGCGGGGAAACGAGAUGGUGGCAUGGGGUUUCGUGACCCCGAGGCUUUCAACCAAGCUUUGCUGGCUAAGCAAGCAUGGAGAAUUCUACAGGUGCCAACUUCUCUUUGCGCGAGGGUACUAAAAGCUCGUUAUUUUGAGGAUGGAUCGGUCUUAUCUGCAACAGCACCACCCUCCGCAUCGUUCACCUUUAAGAGUAUUCUCCAUGGGAGGGAUUUACUAAAUGAGGGGAUUGUAUGGUGCAUUGGAGAUGGCAGUUUGGUGCAGAUCCAUCACGCAAAUAGGAUUCCAAGGGCAGGAAGUAUGCGGCCACUGGGUCAGCUAUACAUCCCAUGUAUUACCAAGGUUGCAGACUUGCUUGCACUUGAUGGUCGGGGCUGGGACAUGGCUAAGCUAUAUGCAAUGUUCUCUGCUGAGGAUGCACAUGACAUCAAGCAAAUAGCGGUUGGGGGCCCUGGAACGAAUGACUUUCAUGCGUGGAAUUUCACAAAGAAUGGAGAGUUUACCGUCAAGUCGGCGUAUCACUUGCGAAUGGCCAUGAGCAGAUCGGGGACCGGACAGCCGGGUCCCUCGAGGACGGUCGCACAACAUGGGGAUAUAUGGCAUUGUGGGAUACAAAUGCUCCAGCCAAGACAAAGAUCCAUAUGUGGAGGAUGA